RNAcentral lists this ribosomal RNA (262 nucleotides) under Pantoea stewartii subsp. stewartii. RNAcentral describes it as "partial 16S ribosomal RNA". It matches the Rfam family "Bacterial small subunit ribosomal RNA", at positions 212 to 472 of the family's 1533-position model. The record is from RNAcentral. Lineage: Bacteria; Pseudomonadati; Pseudomonadota; Gammaproteobacteria; Enterobacterales; Erwiniaceae.
CUCACACCAUCGGAUGUGCCCAGAUGGGAUUAGCUUGUAGGCGGGGUAACGGCCCACCUAGGCGACGAUCCCUAGCUGGUCUGAGAGGAUGACCAGCCACACUGGAACUGAGACACGGUCCAGACUCCUACGGGAGGCAGCAGUGGGGAAUAUUGCACAAUGGGCGCAAGCCUGAUGCAGCCAUGCCGCGUGUAUGAAGAAGGCCUUCGGGUUGUAAAGUACUUUCAGCGGGGAGGAAGGUGGUGAGGUUAAUAACCUCAAU